AAGACUCGCCUUGGUCUUGUUCAACUCCUCCGCCCAUUCCCGAGCCCAACCAGCCCCGGAUCCGCCCACCUUCGCCUCCAACCAGCAGCGAUCAGAGGACUGCAGAAAUGGGUUUGCAGCAACUGUUUGGCCCGUUUUGGCCUCCUUCCCGAGCCCGGAUGCUCGGCCCGCUUUGAGGAAAGUCGAUCCUCGCGUCGAGCCCGUCGUUU
RNAcentral lists this long non-coding RNA (209 nucleotides) under Eucalyptus grandis. RNAcentral's name for it is "long non-coding RNA (EGRA_LNC007651)". The record is from RNAcentral. Lineage: Eukaryota; Viridiplantae; Streptophyta; Magnoliopsida; Myrtales; Myrtaceae.